AGAGUUUGAUCCUGGCUCAGGACGAACGCUGGCGGCACGCUUAACACAUGCAAGUCGAACGAGAGAAGAGGAGCUUGCUUUUCUGAUCUAGUGGCGGACGGGAGAGUAACACGUGAGCAAUCUGCCUUUCAGAGGGGGAUACCGAUUGGAAACGAUCGUUAAUACCGCAUAACAUAAUUGAACCGCAUGAUUUGAUUAUCAAAGAUUUAUCGCUGAAAGAUGAGCUCGCGUCUGAUUAGCUAGUUGGUAAGGUAACGGCUUACCAAGGCGACGAUCAGUAGCCGGACUGAGAGGUUGAUCGGCCACAUUGGGACUGAGACACGGCCCAGACUCCUACGGGAGGCAGCAGUGGGGAAUAUUGCACAAUGGAGGAAACUCUGAUGCAGCGAUGCCGCGUGAGGGAAGAAGGUUUUAGGAUUGUAAACCUCUGUCUUCAGGGACGAAAAAAGACGGUACCUGAGGAGGAAGCUCCGGCUAACUACGUGCCAGCAGCCGCGGUAAUACGUAGGGAGCGAGCGUUGUCCGGAAUUACUGGGUGUAAAGGGAGCGUAGGCGGGAUCGCAAGUCAGAUGUGAAAACUAUGGGCUUAACCCAUAAACUGCAUUUGAAACUGUGGUUCUUGAGUGAAGUAGAGGUAAGCGGAAUUCCUAGUGUAGCGGUGAAAUGCGUAGAUAUUAGGAGGAACAUCAGUGGCGAAGGCGGCUUACUGGGCUUUAACUGACGCUGAGGCUCGAAAGCGUGGGGAGCAAACAGGAUUAGAUACCCUGGUAGUCCACGCCGUAAACGAUGAUUACUAGGUGUGGGGGGACUGACCCCUUCCGUGCCGCAGCAAACGCAAUAAGUAAUCCACCUGGGGAGUACGACCGCAAGGUUGAAACUCAAAGGAAUUGACGGGGGCCCGCACAAGCAGUGGAGUAUGUGGAUUAAUUCGAAGCAACGCGAAGAACCUUACCAGGUCUUGACAUCGUAUGCAUAGCUCAGAGAUGAGUGAAAUCUCUUCGGAGACAUAUAGACAGGUGGUGCAUGGUUGUCGUCAGCUCGUGUCGUGAGAUGUUGGGUUAAGUCCCGCAACGAGCGCAACCCUUACUGUUAGUUGCUACGCAAGAGCACUCUAGCAGGACUGCCGUUGACAAAACGGAGGAAGGUGGGGAUGACGUCAAAUCAUCAUGCCCCUUAUGACCUGGGCCUCACACGUACUACAAUGGCUGUCAACAGAGGGAAGCAAAGCCGCGAGGUGGAGCGAACCCCUAAAAGCAGUCUUAGUUCGGAUUGUAGGCUGCAACCCGCCUACAUGAAGUCGGAAUUGCUAGUAAUCGCAGAUCAGCAUGCUGCGGUGAAUACGUUCCCGGGCCUUGUACACACCGCCCGUCACGCCAUGGGAGUCGGUAACACCCGAAGCCUGUAGUCUAACCGCAAGGAGGACGCAGUCGAAGGUGGGAUUGAUGACUGGGGUGAAGUCGUAACAAGGUA
RNAcentral lists this ribosomal RNA (1470 nucleotides) under metagenome. Its description in RNAcentral is "bacterial SSU rRNA". It matches the Rfam family "Bacterial small subunit ribosomal RNA". The record is from RNAcentral.